RNAcentral lists this unclassified non-coding RNA (293 nucleotides) under Hevea brasiliensis (rubber tree). Lineage: Eukaryota; Viridiplantae; Streptophyta; Magnoliopsida; Malpighiales; Euphorbiaceae. The record is from RNAcentral.
CAGAUGUUCAUUGGUGAUGGUGCCAAACUUGUCCGUGAUGCCUUUCAGCUCGCAAAAGAGAAAUCACCCUGCAUCAUAUUUAUAGAUGAAAUUGAUGCAAUUGGCACUAAGCGGUUUGACAGUGAAGUAAGUGGAGAUAGGGAAGUGCAGAGGACCAUGUUAGAAUUGCUUAAUCAGCUUGAUGGCUUUAGUAGUGAUGAGAGGAUUAAGGUGAUAGCUGCAACAAAUCGUGCUGAUAUCUUGGAUCCUGCCCUCAUGCGAUCUGGCAGAUUGGAUCGCAAAAUUGAGUUUCC